Molecule: ribosomal RNA, 253 nt
Filed under: uncultured bacterium
Lineage: Bacteria
Description: partial 16S ribosomal RNA
Rfam family: Bacterial small subunit ribosomal RNA
Source: RNAcentral
UACAGAGGGUGCGAACGUUGCUCGGAAUUACUGGGCGUAAAGCGCGUGUAGGUAGGUCGAUAAGUCGGGCGUGAAAUCCCUGGGCUCAACCCGGGAACUGCGCUCGAAACUGCCGAUCUUGAGUGCCGGAGAGGGUGGCGGAAUUCCUGGUGUAGAGGUGAAAUUCGUAGAGAUCAGGAGGAACACCGGUGGCGAAGGCGGCCACCUGGACGGCUACUGACACUGAGCCGCGAAAGCGUGGGGAGCAAACAGG